RNAcentral lists this small RNA (621 nucleotides) under Pan troglodytes (chimpanzee). Its description in RNAcentral is "processed transcript". Lineage: Eukaryota; Metazoa; Chordata; Mammalia; Primates; Hominidae. The record is from RNAcentral.
CCUUCUCAAGAUGGCGCUGCACUCAAUGCGGAAAGCGCGUGAGCGCUGGAGCUUCAUCCGGGCACUUCAUAAGGGAUCCGCAGCUGCUCCCGCUCUCCAGAAAGACAGCAAGAAGCGAGUAUUUUCCGGCAUUCAACCUACAGGAAUCCUCCACCUGGGCAAUUACCUGGGAGCCAUUGAGAGCUGGGUGAGGUUACAGGAUGAAUAUGACUCUGUAUUAUACAGCAUUGUUGACCUCCACUCCAUUACUGUCCCCCAAGACCCAGCUGUCCUUCGGCAGAGCAUCCUGGACAUGACUGCUGUUCUUCUUGCCUGUGGCAUAAACCCGGAAAAAAGCAUCCUUUUCCAACAAUCUCAGGUGUCUGAACACACACAAUUAAGUUGGAUCCUUUCCUGCAUGGUCAGACUACCUCGAUUACAACAUUUACAUCAGUGGAAGGUCCACACACGUUCCUGUUGGGGAGGAUCAAGUCCAGCACAUGGAACUAGUUCAGGAUCUAGCACAAGGUUUCAACAAGAAGUAUGGGGAGUUCUUUCCAGUGCCAGAGUCCAUUCUCACAUCCAUGAAGAAGGUAAAAUCCCUCCGUGAUCCUUCUGCCAAAAUGUCGAAAUCAGACCCUG